Molecule: ribosomal RNA, 2775 nt
Filed under: Escherichia coli
Lineage: Bacteria; Pseudomonadati; Pseudomonadota; Gammaproteobacteria; Enterobacterales; Enterobacteriaceae
Description: bacterial LSU rRNA
Rfam family: Bacterial large subunit ribosomal RNA
Source: RNAcentral
AGCGUACACGGUGGAUGCCCUGGCAGUCAGAGGCGAUGAAGGACGUGCUAAUCUGCGAUAAGCGUCGGUAAGGUGAUAUGAACCGUUAUAACCGGCGAUUUCCGAAUGGGGAAACCCAGUGUGAUUCGUCACACUAUCAUUAACUGAAUCCAUAGGUUAAUGAGGCGAACCGGGGGAACUGAAACAUCUAAGUACCCCGAGGAAAAGAAAUCAACCGAGAUUCCCCCAGUAGCGGCGAGCGAACGGGGAGCAGCCCAGAGCCUGAAUCAGUAUGUGUGUUAGUGGAAGCGUCUGGAAAGGCGCGCGAUACAGGGUGACAGCCCCGUACACAAAAAUGCACAUGCUGUGAGCUCGAUGAGUAGGGCGGGACACGUGGUAUCCUGUCUGAAUAUGGGGGGACCAUCCUCCAAGGCUAAAUACUCCUGACUGACCGAUAGUGAACCAGUACCGUGAGGGAAAGGCGAAAAGAACCCCGGCGAGGGGAGUGAAAAAGAACCUGAAACCGUGUACGUACAAGCAGUGGGAGCACAGAGCAAUCUGUGUGACUGCGUACCUUUUGUAUAAUGGGUCAGCGACUUAUAUUCUGUAGCAAGGUUAACCGAAUAGGGGAGCCGAAGGGAAACCGAGUCUUAACUGGGCGUUAAGUUGCAGGGUAUAGACCCGAAACCCGGUGAUCUAGCCAUGGGCAGGUUGAAGGUUGGGUAACACUAACUGGAGGACCGAACCGACUAAUGUUGAAAAAUUAGCGGAUGACUUGUGGCUGGGGGUGAAAGGCCAAUCAAACCGGGAGAUAGCUGGUUCUCCCCGAAAGCUAUUUAGGUAGCGCCUCGUGAAUUCAUCUCCGGGGGUAGAGCACUGUUUCGGCAAGGGGGUCAUCCCGACUUACCAACCCGAUGCAAACUGCGAAUACCGGAGAAUGUUAUCACGGGAGACACACGGCGGGUGCUAACGUCCGUCGUGAAGAGGGAAACAACCCAGACCGCCAGCUAAGGUCCCAAAGUCAUGGUUAAGUGGGAAACGAUGUGGGAAGGCCCAGACAGCCAGGAUGUUGGCUUAGAAGCAGCCAUCAUUUAAAGAAAGCGUAAUAGCUCACUGGUCGAGUCGGCCUGCGCGGAAGAUGUAACGGGGCUAAACCAUGCACCGAAGCUGCGGCAGCGACGCUUAUGCGUUGUUGGGUAGGGGAGCGUUCUGUAAGCCUGUGAAGGUGUGCUGUGAGGUAUGCUGGAGGUAUCAGAAGUGCGAAUGCUGACAUAAGUAACGAUAAAGCGGGUGAAAAGCCCGCUCGCCGGAAGACCAAGGGUUCCUGUCCAACGUUAAUCGGGGCAGGGUGAGUCGACCCCUAAGGCGAGGCCGAAAGGCGUAGUCGAUGGGAAACAGGUUAAUAUUCCUGUACUUGGUGUUACUGCGAAGGGGGGACGGAGAAGGCUAUGUUGGCCGGGCGACGGUUGUCCCGGUUUAAGCGUGUAGGCUGGUUUUCCAGGCAAAUCCGGAAAAUCAAGGCUGAGGCGUGAUGACGAGGCACUACGGUGCUGAAGCAACAAAUGCCCUGCUUCCAGGAAAAGCCUCUAAGCAUCAGGUAACAUCAAAUCGUACCCCAAACCGACACAGGUGGUCAGGUAGAGAAUACCAAGGCGCUUGAGAGAACUCGGGUGAAGGAACUAGGCAAAAUGGUGCCGUAACUUCGGGAGAAGGCACGCUGAUAUGUAGGUGAAGCGACUUGCUCGUGGAGCUGAAAUCAGUCGAAGAUACCAGCUGGCUGCAACUGUUUAUUAAAAACACAGCACUGUGCAAACACGAAAGUGGACGUAUACGGUGUGACGCCUGCCCGGUGCCGGAAGGUUAAUUGAUGGGGUCAGCGCAAGCGAAGCUCUUGAUCGAAGCCCCGGUAAACGGCGGCCGUAACUAUAACGGUCCUAAGGUAGCGAAAUUCCUUGUCGGGUAAGUUCCGACCUGCACGAAUGGCGUAAUGAUGGCCAGGCUGUCUCCACCCGAGACUCAGUGAAAUUGAACUCGCUGUGAAGAUGCAGUGUACCCGCGGCAAGACGGAAAGACCCCGUGAACCUUUACUAUAGCUUGACACUGAACAUUGAGCCUUGAUGUGUAGGAUAGGUGGGAGGCUUUGAAGUGUGGACGCCAGUCUGCAUGGAGCCGACCUUGAAAUACCACCCUUUAAUGUUUGAUGUUCUAACGUUGACCCGUAAUCCGGGUUGCGGACAGUGUCUGGUGGGUAGUUUGACUGGGGCGGUCUCCUCCUAAAGAGUAACGGAGGAGCACGAAGGUUGGCUAAUCCUGGUCGGACAUCAGGAGGUUAGUGCAAUGGCAUAAGCCAGCUUGACUGCGAGCGUGACGGCGCGAGCAGGUGCGAAAGCAGGUCAUAGUGAUCCGGUGGUUCUGAAUGGAAGGGCCAUCGCUCAACGGAUAAAAGGUACUCCGGGGAUAACAGGCUGAUACCGCCCAAGAGUUCAUAUCGACGGCGGUGUUUGGCACCUCGAUGUCGGCUCAUCACAUCCUGGGGCUGAAGUAGGUCCCAAGGGUAUGGCUGUUCGCCAUUUAAAGUGGUACGCGAGCUGGGUUUAGAACGUCGUGAGACAGUUCGGUCCCUAUCUGCCGUGGGCGCUGGAGAACUGAGGGGGGCUGCUCCUAGUACGAGAGGACCGGAGUGGACGCAUCACUGGUGUUCGGGUUGUCAUGCCAAUGGCACUGCCCGGUAGCUAAAUGCGGAAGAGAUAAGUGCUGAAAGCAUCUAAGCACGAAACUUGCCCCGAGAUGAGUUCU